AACUCAUAAAUGGAUCAAAAUUGGAUAUUCUUGUAAAGUCGUAUGCUGCCCCAAAUCCAUGUAGACCUGAAAACCCAAUAUUUAAUAUCAGCGAUACUAGUCACCUAUUAAAGACAGCAAGAAAUUCUCUGUACUCUCUUCUAAGCCAGGAGGUACCAAAUACAACAUGCAUAAGGAUGGCAAAGAUACUGUGGACCCACAUUCAAGAAUUGUUUAGUUUGGAUUCCAAAACCCCACUUCACAAGACAAAUUUGGCACUCUUUCACAUGAACCUAAAUUCUUGCAACAAAAUGAGUGUUCUAAUUGCAAAACAAACCUUGAGCUUGAGAGUUGGUAUUGCCUUGGAGCGAGAUGUUGUUGGUGCCGAUGGUACCGCAAAGUAUGUUUUGCUAAUGGACAACGGUCUUACAUGCGACGAAAUACCAAUCCGGACAUUAGUCAAAUAGGAUACGGGUGACAGCAAUAUCACAGCGUAAUAUUAUUAAAAAGAUAAAAGGUGGGAACACAACCUUCGGAAAAAAUAAAACCUUGGACAAGUGUUUGUAACGAACCAAUGCCAAAACAAACCAAGUUUUAAAAGCACUCAUUUCACCAACGAAAUGCUUGCCUGAAGCUACAUUCUGCUGCUAGAAUGAAAGACGUGGAGUUCGAAUUAGGUGAAGCAUUAAAACAUGCCCUUCAUAAACAAGGUGGAACUAAGUAUAAGGUAUAGGAAAAGGUUCCAUCAGUACUGAUCAAAAGUAUGUAAGCGAACAACAUUGUAGAGACAGUUUAACAACAUUUGCAAGAAUAUUUCAUCAUUCAGUUCAAAUGGUCUGUUUCAUACAAUAUAUGACUCAUGCAAGAGUUAUGUUGUUUUAACAUUUAUUGUUUUCAUUGUUUUAAAUAAAGAAUGCAUGAGAUGUUCAACCAUACACUGGUAGAAAUGUGAAAAUCGCUGUUAAAUUCGCAAAGUAAUAUUACAGUGUACAAUUUUAGUUAAACCGCUUUCAAAAUCGAAAAUUUACGUUUACAUUCACAGUAAAACUGCGAAAUGAUGGGUAGUUUUACAGUAGAUUACACACGUAAAUUAGUACACGUAGUGUAAUUUCAGUAAAACUUACCGUUAAACUACAUGUUAUUUUUGCAAAACACAGGCAGUUUUACAGUACCUUUUGCGGAUGAGACAGUAAAACGCUCAUGAAACGUUCGGAAACUGUUGGUAGAAUAAUAGGUAAAGAACUUUUUUGAGGUCAUAAAGAAAGUUACAGUUUUAAUGCUGACAAUGCUACUACUUAGUUAAUGUUGACAAUGCUACCUAGUUAAUGAAUAUUGCGAUCAAAAUCAUAAACAACUUGAUUUAACACUUCAUAAGACAAAAAAAUAACAGCGAUAAUACU
Molecule: non-coding RNA, 1379 nt
Organism: Ciona intestinalis (vase tunicate)
Lineage: Eukaryota; Metazoa; Chordata; Ascidiacea; Phlebobranchia; Cionidae
Source: RefSeq, a predicted model, not a curated record